RNAcentral lists this ribosomal RNA (482 nucleotides) under uncultured bacterium. Its description in RNAcentral is "partial 16S ribosomal RNA". It matches the Rfam family "Bacterial small subunit ribosomal RNA", at positions 30 to 507 of the family's 1533-position model. The record is from RNAcentral.
AUUGAACGCUGGCGGCAUGCUUUACACAUGCAAGUCGAACGGUAACAGGCCGCAAGGUGCUGACGAGUGGCGAACGGGUGAGUAAUGCAUCGGAACGUGUCCAGUCGUGGGGGAUAACUACUCGAAAGAGUAGCUAAUACCGCAUACGAUCUAUGGAUGAAAGCGGGGGACCGUAAGGCCUCGCGCGAUUGGAGCGGCCGAUGUCAGAUUAGUUAGUUGGUGGGGUAAAGGCUCACCAAGCCAACGAUCUGUAGCUGGUCUGAGAGGACGACCAGCCACACUGGGACUGAGACACGGCCCAGACUCCUACGGGAGGCAGCAGUGGGGAAUUUUGGGCAAUGGGCGCAAGCCUGAUCCAGCAAUGCCGCGUGCAGGAAGAAGGCCUUCGGGUUGUAAACUGCUUUUGUACGGAACGAAACGACUCUGGUUAAUACCCGGAGCUAAUGACGGUACCGUAAGAAUAAGCACCGGCUAACUACGUG